This 468-nucleotide ribosomal RNA is filed under the name uncultured bacterium. Its description in RNAcentral is "partial 16S ribosomal RNA". It matches the Rfam family "Bacterial small subunit ribosomal RNA", at positions 28 to 507 of the family's 1533-position model. The record is from RNAcentral.
GACGAACGCUGGCGGCGUGCUUAACACAUGCAAGUCGAACGGCAAGGCCCUGCUUUUGUGGGGUGCUCGAGUGGCGAACGGGUGAGUAACACGUGAGUAACCUGCCCUUGACUUUGGGAUAACUUCAGGAAACUGGGGCUACUACCGGAUCGGAUCUCCUGCUGCAUGGUGGGGGUUGGAAAGUUUCGGCGGUUGGGGAUGGACUCGCGGCUUAUCAGCUUGUUGGUGGGGUAGUGGCUUACCAAGGCUUUGACGGGUAGCCGGCCUGAGAGGGUGACCGGCCACAUUGGGACUGAGAUACGGCCCAGACUGCUACGGGAGGCAGCAGUGGGGAAGAUUGCACAAUGGGCGGAAGCCUGAUGCAGCAACGCCGCGUGCGGGAUGACGGCCUUCGGGUUGUAAACCGCUUUCGCCUGUGACGAAGCGUGAGUGACGGUAAUGGGUAAAGAAGCACCGGCUAAAUACGUG